CAGCAGUGAGGAAUAUUGGUCAAUGGACGAGAGUCUGAACCAGCCAAGUAGCGUGAAGGAUGAAGGUCCUACGGAUUGUAAACUUCUUUUAUAAGGGAAUAAACCCUCCCACGUGUGGGAGCUUGUAUGUACCUUAUGAAUAAGCAUCGGCUAACUCCGUGCCAGCAGCCGCGGUAAUACGGAGGAUGCGAGCGUUAUCCGGAUUUAUUGGGUUUAAAGGGAGCGCAGACGGGUCGUUAAGUCAGCUGUGAAAGUUUGGGGCUCAACCUUAAAAUUGCAGUUGAUACUGGCGUCCUUGAGUGCGGUUGAGGUGUGCGGAAUUCGUGGUGUAGCGGUGAAAUGCUUAGAUAUCACGAAGAACUCCGAUUGCGAAGGCAGCACACUAAUCCGUAACUGACGUUCAUGCUCGAAAGUGUGGGUAUCAAACAGGAUUAGAUACCCUGGUAGUCCACACGGUAAACGAUGGAUACUCGCUGUUGGCGAUAUACUGUCAGCGGCUUAGCGAAAGCGUUAAGUAUCCCACCUGGGGAGUACGCCGGCAACGGUGCAACUCAAAGGAAU
This 561-nucleotide ribosomal RNA is filed under the name uncultured Bacteroidota bacterium. RNAcentral's name for it is "bacterial SSU rRNA". It matches the Rfam family "Bacterial small subunit ribosomal RNA", at positions 349 to 910 of the family's 1533-position model. The record is from RNAcentral. Lineage: Bacteria; Pseudomonadati; Bacteroidota.